GAAAUGCGAUAAUUAAUGUGAAUUGCAGAAUUCAGUGAAUCAUCGAGUCUUGGAACGCACAUUGCGCCCCCUGGUAUUCCGGGGGGCAUGCCUGUCCGAGCGUCAUUGCUGCCCUCAAGCACGGCUUGUGUGUUGGGCUUCCGUCCCUGGUAACGGGGACGGGCCCAAAAGGCAGUGGCGGCACCAUGUCUGGUCCUCGAGCGUAUGGGGCUUUGUCACCCGCUCCCGUAGGUCCAGCUGGCAGCUAGCCUCGCAACCAAUCUUUUUAACCAGGUUGACCUCGGAUCAGGUAGGGAUACCCGCUGAACUUAAGC
Molecule: unclassified non-coding RNA, 314 nt
Filed under: plant metagenome
Description: partial contains 5.8S ribosomal RNA, internal transcribed spacer 2, and large subunit ribosomal RNA
Rfam family: 5.8S ribosomal RNA (bases 1-105)
Source: RNAcentral